This 750-nucleotide ribosomal RNA is filed under the name Salmonella enterica subsp. enterica serovar Chester. RNAcentral describes it as "partial 23S ribosomal RNA". It matches the Rfam family "Bacterial large subunit ribosomal RNA", at positions 442 to 1191 of the family's 2925-position model. The record is from RNAcentral. Lineage: Bacteria; Pseudomonadati; Pseudomonadota; Gammaproteobacteria; Enterobacterales; Enterobacteriaceae.
AUAUGGGGGGACCAUCCUCCAAGGCUAAAUACUCCUGACUGACCGAUAGUGAACCAGUACCGUGAGGGAAAGGCGAAAAGAACCCCGGCGAGGGGAGUGAAAAAGAACCUGAAACCGUGUACGUACAAGCAGUGGGAGCACAGGUUUACCUGUGUGACUGCGUACCUUUUGUAUAAUGGGUCAGCGACUUAUAUUCUGUAGCAAGGUUAACCGAAUAGGGGAGCCGGAGGGAAACCGAGUCUUAAUUGGGCGUUAAGUUGCAGGGUAUAGACCCGAAACCCGGUGAUCUAGCCAUGGGCAGGUUGAAGGUUGGGUAACACUAACUGGAGGACCGAACCGACUAAUGUUGAAAAAUUAGCGGAUGACCUGUGGCUGGGGGUGAAAGGCCAAUCAAACCGGGAGAUAGCUGGUUCUCCCCGAAAGCUAUUUAGGUAGCGCCUCGUGAAUUCAUCUCCGGGGGUAGAGCACUGUUUCGGCUAGGGGGCCAUCCCGGCUUACCAACCCGAUGCAAACUGCGAAUACCGGAGAAUGUUAUCACGGGAGACACACGGCGGGUGCUAACGUCCGUCGUGAAGAGGGAAACAACCCAGACCGCCAGCUAAGGUCCCAAAGUCAUGGUUAAGUGGGAAACGAUGUGGGAAGGCCCAGACAGCCAGGAUGUUGGCUUAGAAGCAGCCAUCAUUUAAAGAAAGCGUAAUAGCUCACUGGUCGAGUCGGCCUGCGCGGAAGAUGUAACGGGGCUAAACCAUG